GACGAACGCUGGCGGCGUGCCUAAUACAUGCAAGUCGAGCGGACGAAUCGAAAGCUUGCUUUUGAUUCGUUAGCGGCGGACGGGUGAGUAACACGUGGGCAACCUGCCCUGUAGACGGGGAUAACACCGAGAAAUCGGUGCUAAUACCGGAUAACACGAAGUGUCGCAUGACGUUUCGUUGAAAGACGGCGCAAGCUGUCGCUACAGGAUGGGCCCGCGGCGCAUUAGCUAGUUGGUGCGGUAACGGCUCACCAAGGCGACGAUGCGUAGCCGACCUGAGAGGGUGAUCGGCCACACUGGGACUGAGACACGGCCCAGACUCCUACGGGAGGCAGCAGUAGGGAAUCUUCCGCAAUGGACGAAAGUCUGACGGAGCAACGCCGCGUGAGCGAAGAAGGCCUUCGGGUCGUAAAGCUCUGUUGUUAGGGAAGAACAAGUAACGCAGUAACUGGCGUUACCGUGACGGUACCUAACGAGAAAGCCACGGCUAACUACGUG
RNAcentral lists this ribosomal RNA (498 nucleotides) under uncultured bacterium. RNAcentral describes it as "partial 16S ribosomal RNA". It matches the Rfam family "Bacterial small subunit ribosomal RNA", at positions 28 to 507 of the family's 1533-position model. The record is from RNAcentral.